CCCUUGUAGAAGUAAGUGAAGACUGCAGGGGUCAGCAAGAAGGUGGCAAGGAGAACAAGGGAUGGAGGCAGCAUCCAGAAGACCCACAGAGAGAAGAACAGAAGGAAAAUCUGUUUGCGUGAACCGCCCAGCCACCUCUGCUGACCUGGCUCUUCCUGCUGCCUCACGAUGCCUCAGCCCCAAGAACUGAGGGCUCAAGGGACCCCCAGGCUUUGGUUUUCUGGCCCUGGGAUGUACCCCCCGCCCCCUAGGCUGCACCUUUCUCCAGGAUUAAAGCCCCUUUCCUCCCCACUCCCGAGGACGCUUCACAGGAACAGAGCUGGGAAAUCUCUCAGCUGUGUGUCAUUUCACCAGAGUGGUCUUUUAAAAAGAAGUCACAGAGCCUGAUGCAGGGCUCGAAAUCACCAACUGUGAGGCCAUGACCGGAGCCGAAGUCUGACGCUUAACUGAUUGAACCACCCAGGCGCCCCACACCAGACUGGUCUUGAAGGUGGGUAGCUCUUGGUGAAUUUCUGCAGAGUGGCAAUGCUGGCUUUAAAAAUGCCACAGUUGGACUGUCCAAAAGGUGUACAAACAAUCGUAUUAUUUACAAGUCAUCUUUUAGCCUUAACACAUGGUAAAGCGUUUCCAGAUCCCUUUCCUUGAAUCAGCUCAGCAACACCCUUUGUUGUUGGGUCCACACUGCCACUAAGACUUCAGAUGAAAGAUGCUUUGGGCACUCCAGCCUCUCCGACACCCGAGAACGGGAUAUUUUUGGUUAAGUGCUGCCUCCUGGCGGCAGCUCUACUGCCCGACACCUUCCCCUCCUGGUGGAGACCACUUCCUUUAACUGGGGAUCUCGAAGCUGAUGCAACAGCUUCCCCGAGGGGGCGGGGAGUUGAGACGCCCAUCCGAAAGACCCCUCCCCUGGCUCCCGGCGGGCGCCGCUCCUUUCCUCCUCCCCCACGGGACUUUGCAGUCCAGAGUCCCUCCGGAGUUUCAGCUUUGCAUCUCCGGGCCGGAGGCGGGGUUGCCAGGGUUUGGGGCUCUGGCCCGACCCCCGUCGGGCAGCCAGCGCGAGCAGGAUUGGGAGGGUGGGAAGAGGAAGCUGAGCGUCCCUGGGGCGGAGGACGCACCCAAGGGUAUCCGCAGACACUUCCCUGUCCCAGGGGUAGCGCAGCUGUGCGUGAGCGAAGAGAGGGCAGGGGAGCGGGUUGCAGGCCACCUCGGCUCUCGGACCCUGGCGCCCUUCCCUCCACCCACCACGCUCCCCUCCUCCAGCGCUUCCUGAAGCCCGGGGAGGGGCGGAGGCUGCUUGGCCAGGGGGAAGGAAGGGAAGGGGACGCCGGGUGGGGUGGGUUGCUGGUCCCUCAAGGCAGACCCCGGUUUGGCCUCCGUAUCCAGACCUGGACGUCGGGGGCGACCAAGCUUUUAAGAGGAGCAUUGAGGGUGGGCGGCGGCUGGGUCGGGGUUUGGGAAGGCGAGGUCUCGGGGCUGCGGAUACGGAACACCCAGGGGCCAAGGGAAAGAGGGUACUAAAGGGAGCCGGCAGGGGAAGGCGAGGCGGGGCUGGGGGCUGGGGAGUGUGGGAGAAAGGGGCAAAGGUG
Felis catus (domestic cat) is the source of this 1586-nucleotide long non-coding RNA. RefSeq lists it as uncharacterized. The transcript is spliced from 3 exons. NCBI's taxonomy places the organism in Eukaryota, Metazoa, Chordata, Mammalia, Carnivora, Felidae. The record is from RefSeq and is a predicted model, not a curated record.